Mustela lutreola (European mink) is the source of this 1477-nucleotide long non-coding RNA. RefSeq lists it as uncharacterized. The transcript is spliced from 2 exons. Lineage: Eukaryota; Metazoa; Chordata; Mammalia; Carnivora; Mustelidae. The record is from RefSeq and is a predicted model, not a curated record.
CCUCUUUUUCUUCUCCCACUUUGAUCUCUGUGGAUAUUCAUUUAGAACUAGUGGAACCUACUUUUAUUGUGUGUUACGUAUGUUCAGAUUUCUAACAUUUUAUUUCACAAGGAGGAGAACAUUCGUUUCUUCUUUUCAAGUUGGAGUCUGACAGCCCUUUGAUCUUACUGUGCUCGUCUCAGCCUCUGAGGGGAGUUAUAGUGGGCCAGGAGAACAGUGACACUCCCUGAUCUUGGCUUGUCCUUUUGGGAGGCUUCUCAUCCUCUUCCCUUUUUGAAGCUCUGUGGUCUCCUCAGAGGAGAGCCAUAGAAGUCCCCGUGUCUGGGUAGCUGUGGUCCUGGAUCACACUGCACCUGAUGGCUUUCUCAGUGGUCCACCACACAUUAGCUCAGAGUCACGGUUAAGGCAUUUUAAAACUAGUGGGACUUGGGUUUUAUCCCUUGAUGACUCUCUGUUUAUUUUAGGAGUGCUUUCUUUGGCCCCUCUUCCCUGUCACUCUAAAUAAACUUUCAAAUGUUUUUACCCUCUUGAGAUUGUUUGUUAAAUACACUUUGCUGCUAAUUCAGGAGGUCAAGCUUUGAUUAACUACAGAGUGGCCCCUGUGUAGACAGGUGCUGGCAGGGUGGGAGUCCUGGUGAUGCCCAGGGCUGCUGGAAUGGCCAGCCACUGACCCACAGGCAGAGAGCACAAGAGAUAGAAGGAGCCACGUGAACCUGCUACACGAUUUCAAAUUAAAUAAUUUGAAACAGAAACUUUGUGCCCUCCUGUACGCAGAAAACCAAUUAUUCUAUGCCGAACAAAAAGUCACUGUAAAAGUAAAUACAUUGAAGACACAACAAGGUCAUCAAACCCUAACUGGAUUUCAUCGUCUGCCAGAGUCUGUGAAGAAGCCGCCCACUCUUCCUGUGUGGGAGAAGGGGAAAUUAUGGAGUGCUGGAGAAGUGUCCGCGACAUACUGGCAACCGCACGGAACUUUCCCCCUGACGCAGUCAGAAGGACUGGGAGGGCACUGACCAGGGAAUAACUUUCCAAAUAUGUGGGUCCUGAUAGAGUGCCAGGGAAAACCACGUCCUAGCCCCGUCCCGGAAGGCCGGGCCAUGCUCUGCUUGGAUGGGGUGUGCCUCACCCCUCUUGCCUGCUGAAGGUUGUCUGUUCAGGUCCCCAUCAGUCCACGGCUGGCCAUUGUCACAGGCCCAUUGGAUGCCACCAUCUACCACCUGUCUCGUGGGAGCUUCUUCUGCGCCGGCUCACUCCUGCUUUGGGAGGGUAGGCCCACAGCACCUCCUCGUCCCUGGAGCCUUGUUGAAGAGACACAGUGGCCACCUGGAGCAAAGGAUCCCAGGGAGUAUCUGGCCAAGGAGGGGCCUGCCCACCUCCCUGGGAACCUGGUACUGGGAGGGGGCAAUGAGAGGAGGCAGGGGAGAGUUGUAGGUGCAUGGCCCACGCUGAAGACCGAACAAGCAUGAGCUGUCAUGGC